RNAcentral lists this ribosomal RNA (253 nucleotides) under uncultured bacterium. RNAcentral's name for it is "partial 16S ribosomal RNA". It matches the Rfam family "Bacterial small subunit ribosomal RNA", at positions 524 to 776 of the family's 1533-position model. The record is from RNAcentral.
CACGUAGGGGGCAAGCGUUAUCCGGAUUUACUGGGUGUAAAGGGAGCGUAGACGGCGAUGCAAGCCAGAUGUGAAAGCCCGGGGCUCAACCCCGGGACUGCAUUUGGAACUGUAUAGCUAGAGUGUCGGAGAGGCAGGCGGAAUUCCUAGUGUAGCGGUGAAAUGCGUAGAUAUUAGGAGGAACACCAGUGGCGAAGGCGGCCUGCUGGACGAUGACUGACGUUGAGGCUCGAAAGCGUGGGGAGCAAACAGG